UACAGAGGCCUCGAGCGUUAGGCGGAAUCACUGGGCUUAAAGCGUGUGUAGGUGGAUGCCUAAGUACCUUGUGAAAUCCCAUGGCUUAACCAUGGAAUUGCUUGGUAUACUGGGUGUCUUGAGCCACUCAGGGGCGAGCGGAACAAACGGUGGAGCGGUGAAAUGCGUAGAUAUUCGGAAGAACACCAGUGGCGAAGGCGGCUCACUGGACUGGUAUUGACGCUGAGGAGCGAAAGCGUGGGGAGCGAACAGG
Molecule: ribosomal RNA, 253 nt
Filed under: uncultured bacterium
Lineage: Bacteria
Description: partial 16S ribosomal RNA
Rfam family: Bacterial small subunit ribosomal RNA
Source: RNAcentral